Molecule: ribosomal RNA, 476 nt
Filed under: uncultured bacterium
Lineage: Bacteria
Description: bacterial SSU rRNA
Rfam family: Bacterial small subunit ribosomal RNA
Source: RNAcentral
AGGACGAACGCUGGCGGCGUGCCUAACACAUGCAAGUCGAGCGAGGAGAUCCUUCGGGAUGAUCCUAGCGGCGGACGGGUGAGUAACACGUGGGCAACCUGCCUCAUAGAGAGGAAUAGCCUUCCGAAAGGGAGAUUAAUACCUCAUAACAUUGCAGUUUCGCAUGGAACAGCAAUUAAAGGAGUAAUCCGCUAUGAGAUGGGCCCCGCGGCGCAUUAGCUAGUUGGUGAGGUAACGGCUCACCAAGGCGACGAUGCGUAGCCGACCUGAGAGGGUGAUCGGCCACAUUGGGACUGAGACACGGCCCAGACUCCUACGGGAGGCAGCAGUGGGGAAUAUUGCACAAUGGGGGAAACCCUGAUGCAAGCAACGCCGCGUGAGUGAUGACGGCCUUCGGGUUGUAAAGCUCUGUCUUCAGGGACGAUAAUGACGGUACCUGAGGAGGAAGCCACGGCUAACUACGUGCCAGCCGCAGC